This 104-nucleotide small nuclear RNA is filed under the name Castor canadensis (American beaver). The record is from RNAcentral. Lineage: Eukaryota; Metazoa; Chordata; Mammalia; Rodentia; Castoridae.
GUGCUCACUUCGGCAGCACAUACACUAAAAUUGGAACGAUACAGAGAUCAGCAAGGCCCCCACACAAGGAUGACAUGCAAAUUCAUGAAGCGUUCCAUAUUUUU